AUUGAACGCUGGCGGCAGGCUUAACACAUGCAAGUCGAGCGGGGUGAUGGUGCUUGCACUAUCACUUAGCGGCGGACGGGUGAGUAAUGCUUAGGAAUCUGCCUAUUAGUGGGGGACAACAACUCGAAAGGGAUGCUAAUACCGCAUACGUCCUACGGGAGAAAGCAGGGGAUCACUUGUGACCUUGCGCUAAUAGAUGAGCCUAAGUCGGAUUAGCUAGUUGGUGGGGUAAAGGCCUACCAAGGCGACGAUCUGUAGCGGGUCUGAGAGGAUGAUCCGCCACACUGGGACUGAGACACGGCCCAGACUCCUACGGGAGGCAGCAGUGGGGAAUAUUGGACAAUGGGGGGAACCCUGAUCCAGCCAUGCCGCGUGUGUGAAGAAGGCCUUAUGGUUGUAAAGCACUUUAAGCGAGGAGGAGGCUCUUUUGGUUAAUACCCAAGAUGAGUGGACGUUACUCGCAGAAUGAGCACCGGCUAACUCUGUGCCAGCAGCCGCGGUAA
Molecule: ribosomal RNA, 503 nt
Filed under: uncultured bacterium
Lineage: Bacteria
Description: partial 16S ribosomal RNA
Rfam family: Bacterial small subunit ribosomal RNA
Source: RNAcentral